AUUAAACGCUGGCGGCAUGCCUUACACAUGCAAGUCGAACGGCAGCACGGGGCAACCUGGUGGCGAGUGGCGAACGGGUGAGUAAAGCAUCGGAACGUGCCCUGGAGUGGGGGAUAACGUAGCGAAAGUUACGCUAAUACCGCAUAUUCUGUGAGCAGGAAAGCAGGGGAUCGCAAGACCUUGCGCUCUGGGAGCGGCCGAUGUCGGAUUAGCUAGUUGGUGGGGUAAAGGCCUACCAAGGCGACGAUCCGUAGCGGGUCUGAGAGGAUGAUCCGCCACACUGGGACUGAGACACGGCCCAGACUCCUACGGGAGGCAGCAGUGGGGAAUUUUGGACAAUGGGCGAAGCCUGAUCCAGCCAUGCCGCGUGAGUGAAGAAGGCC
Molecule: ribosomal RNA, 383 nt
Filed under: uncultured bacterium
Lineage: Bacteria
Description: bacterial SSU rRNA
Rfam family: Bacterial small subunit ribosomal RNA
Source: RNAcentral